AUUAAAAGAGUUUCGAGAGCUAGAAGGUAAAAUUAUCAUUUUAUAUAAUAUGUAGUAUUACUUGUUUUCGGUAAUGCAAGAUAUACGACCCCCUCUUGUUACUAUUUUCGGUGUAAUCAUGCUCAAUUUGUAAUGUUAUAUUAACGGCUAGAUUACAUUGCGGAUAAACUAAACACAGUAAUCCUAACAAGAUUACUUGUAAUCCUGUCAGGAUAACUCGAACCAAUCGCACCCUGAAAGUAAUAUUCUAACUUACCUUAGUA
This 263-nucleotide long non-coding RNA is filed under the name Ananas comosus (pineapple). RNAcentral describes it as "long non-coding RNA (ACOM_LNC039403)". The record is from RNAcentral. Lineage: Eukaryota; Viridiplantae; Streptophyta; Magnoliopsida; Poales; Bromeliaceae.